GAGAAAUAUCGUUUCCAUCUGCUCUGAGCGGCUAAUCGGCGACACUCAUUAUUUCCAGCGACGGGAAGCGCCCCGUCAGUCGGCCCGGAGGCCAAGGCCGCCCAACCGGCGGCGGCUCGCUCGGCUCCUAUCUCGCUGACCUCCACCGUUCGCCCACACCAAAAACACUCGGCGAGGGUUAGAUCGUGAAAAAUGGGUUGACGACACACCAAGGGCAAACGACUGUCGGAGAGGUAUAAAACGGGCGCCAGACGCAGCAGCGACACACUCACACAGUCCACACCACACUCAACAACAUCCACUCUCCAACACUCCACUCAACAUGCACAACCUGCCCGCCAUCAUGACGCUGACCAGGGAGCCGAUUGGCUCGGCUUGGCGGCAGCAGGCUGUUCUUUCGGCACUCUUCCGGCCUCUACAAUAUCGGCAUACUCGAGUGCGAUAGCAACUCGAGUGGGACUGAUUUUCGGUCUUCUUUCGACACUCUUCCGUCUUCUUCGAUAUCAGCCUGUGCUAAUGCAACGGCUAUUCGUGCAGGACUGAUUUUCGGCCUUGUCUUGUUUAAUGACUCGAUCGCUUCCUUUUGACAUUUUGGUUUCGACCUCAUCUUUUGGCUCAUUUCAAUAUAUCUACUUUUUGUU
Molecule: long non-coding RNA, 641 nt
Filed under: Amphibalanus amphitrite
Lineage: Eukaryota; Metazoa; Arthropoda; Thecostraca; Balanomorpha; Balanidae
Description: uncharacterized LOC122374550
Source: RNAcentral